Molecule: ribosomal RNA, 253 nt
Filed under: uncultured bacterium
Lineage: Bacteria
Description: partial 16S ribosomal RNA
Rfam family: Bacterial small subunit ribosomal RNA
Source: RNAcentral
UACGUAGGGCGCAAGCGUUAUCCGGAAUUAUUGGGCGUAAAGAGCUCGUAGGCGGUUUGUCGCGUCUGCCGUGAAAGCCCGGAGCUCAACUCCGGAACUGCCAUUGAAACUGUUUAGCUUGAGGAUGAGAGAGGUGAGUGGAAUUCCCAGUGUAGAGGUGAAAUUCGUAGAUAUUGGGAAGAACACCGGUGGCGAAGGCGGCUCACUGGCUCAUUACUGACGCUCAGGCGCGAUAGCGUGGGGAUCAAACAGG